GUGGGCGUAGCUCAGUUGGUAGAGCCCCGGUUUGUGGUACCGGUCGUCGUGGGUUCAAGUCCCAUCGCUCACCCCA
This 76-nucleotide transfer RNA is filed under the name Gammaproteobacteria bacterium. RNAcentral's name for it is "tRNA-His". It matches the Rfam family "tRNA". Rfam says of the family: Transfer RNA (tRNA) molecules are approximately 80 nucleotides in length. Their secondary structure includes four short double-helical elements and three loops (D, anti-codon, and T loops). The record is from RNAcentral. Lineage: Bacteria; Pseudomonadati; Pseudomonadota; Gammaproteobacteria.